CCUACGGGAGGCAGCAGUGGGGAAUAUUGGACAAUGGGCGAAAGCCUGAUCCAGCCAUGCCGCGUGUGUGAAGAAGGUCUUCGGAUUGUAAAGCACUUUAAGUUGGGAGGAAGGGCAGUAAGUUAAUACCUUGCUGUUUUGACGUUACCGACAGAAUAGGCACCGGCUAACUCUGUGCCAGCAGCCGCGGUAAU
RNAcentral lists this ribosomal RNA (194 nucleotides) under uncultured bacterium. RNAcentral's name for it is "partial 16S ribosomal RNA". It matches the Rfam family "Bacterial small subunit ribosomal RNA", at positions 338 to 524 of the family's 1533-position model. The record is from RNAcentral.